This 274-nucleotide ribosomal RNA is filed under the name uncultured bacterium. RNAcentral's name for it is "partial 16S ribosomal RNA". It matches the Rfam family "Bacterial small subunit ribosomal RNA", at positions 523 to 796 of the family's 1533-position model. The record is from RNAcentral.
AUACGGAGGGUGCAAGCGUUAUUCGGAAUCACUGGGCGUAAAGGGUGCGUAGGCGGUUUGAUAAGUCUGAUGUGUAAUCCUAUGGCUCAACCAUAGAACUGCAUUGGAAACUGUCAGACUAGAAUACUGAAGGGGCAGAUGGAAUUAGUGGUGUAGGGGUAAAAUCCGUAGAUAUCACUAGGAAUACCGAAAGCGAAAGCGAUCUGCUGGGAAGUUAUUGACGCUGAGGCACGAAAGCGUGGGGAGCAAACGGGAUUAGAAACCCCAGUAGUCC